UUAAAAUGAUAGAAUUCCAUUUAACCUCUGGCAGAUGUUCAAAAUACAAGAUUAAAAUAAAUCAAGUUUCUGGAAGAUUGUGUGUGAGGAAAGGAAGACAAGGUGAGGAAAGGGGAUAAUUGGAUGGGGUUUAUGGGGGUGUAAAUUAAAACACCUGAGACAUUGAUAGCUUAUAACUUUGCCUUAGAAGGGAGCAGAGGGUGAGCCGAAAAAGUAGAGAAGAAAGAGGUCACUGGAUGCUGUUUUAGGAAGGAAGAUCAUUUCAUAGUGAAAAGUUGCUCAAGAAAGGCUACUCUAGAAGAAAACAGACUUCUGUGAGCGAUCCAAGCAGAAAUGACUGCUUUAAGAACUGAAUCAAUCUCUCAGAAGAGGAUGACCUUAGACCUUCAGGAUGUUCUUUCCCAGGUAGUCUUAGGACUAGAAGCCUCUGGAAACUCUGGCCUAAUAUACAAAUCAUGGAACCGAAAGAAUGACAGGUUCCUAGAAGAUCUAGAAUGGCCAUAUAACCAUGCUUUCAGUUUGUUCAGACUGGCAUCAUCAGUGAAAAUUCAUCAAUAA
This 558-nucleotide long non-coding RNA is filed under the name Monodelphis domestica (gray short-tailed opossum). RNAcentral describes it as "lncRNA (ENSMODG00000051102.1)". The record is from RNAcentral. Lineage: Eukaryota; Metazoa; Chordata; Mammalia; Didelphimorphia; Didelphidae.